UUUCUUCUCCAGGCCAAGGGCAGAGUCUUCCAUUUACUUAGAGUUAUUUUUUGCUGAUUUUUCAGGCCCAGCAAGAAACUAUGAGGCAGAAGAGGACGAGGAAGAAGAGCAUGACUACAGCUAUAUUGAUGAAAACAUAAUUGAAAACAUAAGAAAAGCAUUUCAUGGCACCAGCAUUAGAAAUGAGCACACAGUCUCCAAAGGAAGAAGAGACAUCUGAAGGAAAAUAAUUCUGAAAUUAACUGGAAACAAGUAGGAAGCUGUGUCCUUGGCACAUCAAGAUUGACCACAACUGUAAGAAAAAGCUGCUCAUGAAAGUGUCCUUCUUGACUCAUGGAGAGCAUACAAGGCUGUAAUUUAGCUAUAAUAAUCCCCUGCAAAAUGAAACUGCUUACUUGUCCUAAAUAAGAAGUCAAACCAGCUAAUGUCUCAUGACCCUUUGAAGGGACAAAGCUCUUCUGUACAUAUUUAUUAGUGAAUUUAGAGAACAAUGCCAAGUCCAAUCCUUCAUUCUUAUUGCGCCUGAAAUUCCGGUUAUUUCCUGAACCUCUGUAGGGCAUAUGCAGAAGGAAAA
Long non-coding RNA from Zonotrichia albicollis (white-throated sparrow), 574 nucleotides. NCBI's taxonomy places the organism in Eukaryota, Metazoa, Chordata, Aves, Passeriformes, Passerellidae. The record is from Ensembl.